RNAcentral lists this long non-coding RNA (1066 nucleotides) under Brassica napus (rape). Its description in RNAcentral is "long non-coding RNA (BNAP_LNC025084)". The record is from RNAcentral. Lineage: Eukaryota; Viridiplantae; Streptophyta; Magnoliopsida; Brassicales; Brassicaceae.
AGACAAAAACUUAAAAGGUGCUAUUAUUGACAAUUGCCUAAAGAAAAAUUGGUAACAUGCGAGAGUUCUAAAAAAACAAAGUAUAUAUUACAAAGAUACAUACAUAAGUAAAUACAUCCAUAUAUGUAUAUAUGCCGUCAGGUUCAACCACCGUCCUCCUCCGUCAACCACCGCCUUCCUCCGCCAAAAAAGCUGUGGAGCUUCCCCUGCGUCGUCUUCUUCACUGUCAAGAUCUCUUAUCCACCGCCGUCAAGUUUCUGCUCCGUCACCUACCUUCUCCUUGAAGUAGCCUAAAAAAAAAAACAAAACAAAUCAAUUAGAAAUAGCGGAGGUGAAAGCAGAGAAUAGGAAGACGAAGAGAGGUGGCCUGGUGGGCGGUGGUGAUGGUGAGUAGGUAAAACCGAUGAGAAGGUGAAGCCAUGAGUCGAUUGCAGUGGCGGAGCCACCUUGGCGAGAGGGUGGUCAAUUGACCCAUGUGAAACCUAUAAAUAUUAAGUUUUAUGUUUUUACAAUGUUGUUUCUGUGGUAAAUUGGUCAAAAUAUCUAAGUUUGACCCACAUGUCAUGGGUUCAACUCUCAUAUAUGUUAUUUUUUAUCUAUAAUAAUUGAAUUAUGACCCAUGUGGAACUUUGGUCUAGCUCCGCCACUGGUCGAUUGUUACAGAGAAUGAGUAGAAUGAAAGAAGAAAACUCAGAGGAAGGAGAGAGGAAAAGAGAAAAAAAGGAAGAAGAAAGAAACGCAAAUGAUUGUGUCCAUUAGAUGGAUGUUACAAUCAACGGUUGAAAUAGUUUCAGUCAAUCCAAGUCUUUCUUUAUCGACCAAUCAUAUAUUUAUCUUCUUUUUUGCAUUUUCUUAUCAGCCAAUGGGAAAGCACAUGGGAGUGAGUACACGACAACACAUAAAAAUGUCUCCCUUCUUAUUGUGUUUAUGAUAUUCAGACAGUUGAACCAAAAAAAGAUAUUCAGACACGUUUUAAUUUAAUUUUUUUGUGUGUUUGCAACUAGUAUUUUUAUUUGUAAUUAAAUCAUAAUGUUAAUAUUUGAUAUGGAUAGAUUAUGAAUUGGGG